GUCUAGGUAGUAUAGUGGUUAGUAUGCUCGCUUGUGGUACCCGCUUUCGUAAGCGAAUCCCGCGAUUGACGUCAGUUCGAUUCUGGCCCUGGACA
This is a non-coding RNA of Mycena alexandri, 95 nucleotides long. Lineage: Eukaryota; Fungi; Basidiomycota; Agaricomycetes; Agaricales; Mycenaceae. The record is from the annotation of a GenBank genome assembly.